Molecule: ribosomal RNA, 541 nt
Filed under: uncultured bacterium
Lineage: Bacteria
Description: bacterial SSU rRNA
Rfam family: Bacterial small subunit ribosomal RNA
Source: RNAcentral
AAUAGAUACCCUGGUAGUCCACGCCGUAAACUAUGGAUGCUAGCUGUGACACAUAUCGACCUGUGUCGUAGCGAAGUUAACGCGUUAAGCAUCCCGCCUGGGGAGUACGGUCGCAAGAUUAAAACUCAAAGGAAUUGACGGGGACCCGCACAAGCGGUGGAGCGUGUUGUUUAAUUCGAUGGUAAGCGAAGAACCUUACCCAGGUUUGACAUCCCGAGAAGGCUUCCGAAAGGAAACUGUGCUUUAUUGAACUCGGUGACAGGUGAUGCAUGGCCGUCGUCAGCUCGUGUCGUGAGAUGUAUGGUUAAGUCCAUUAACGAGCGCAACCCUUAUGUUUAGUUGGAUUUUUUCUAAACAGACUGCCCUGGUAACAGGGGAGGAAGGAGGGGAUGAUGUCAGGUCAGUAUUUCCCUUACAUCUGGGGCUACAAACACGCUACAAUGGCCGGUACAAAGGGCAGCCAACCCGCAAGGGGGAGCUAAUCCCAUCAAAGCCGGUCUCAGUUCGGAUUGCAGGCUGAAACUCGCCUGCAUGAAGCUGG